ACAACUUUCAGCAACGGAUCUCUUGGCUCUCGCAUCGAUGAAGAACGCAGCGAAAUGCGAUAAGUAAUGUGAAUUGCAGAAUUCAGUGAAUCAUCGAAUCUUUGAACGCACCUUGCGCUCCUUGGUAUUCCGAGGAGCAUGCCUGUUUGAGUAUCA
This 156-nucleotide ribosomal RNA is filed under the name Gloeoporus taxicola. RNAcentral describes it as "5.8S ribosomal RNA". It matches the Rfam family "5.8S ribosomal RNA". Rfam says of the family: 5.8S ribosomal RNA (5.8S rRNA) is a component of the large subunit of the eukaryotic ribosome. It is transcribed by RNA polymerase I as part of the 45S precursor that also contains 18S and 28S rRNA. Lineage: Eukaryota; Fungi; Basidiomycota; Agaricomycetes; Polyporales; Irpicaceae. RNAcentral also lists the same sequence under 4 other names. The record is from RNAcentral.